GCCCUUAGAGUUUGAUUUUGGCUCAGGACGAACGCUGGCGGCGUGCUUAACGCAUGCAAGUUGAACGUUCCGCCCUUUUUGGCCUUCGGGCCAUAAAGGACCACGGAAAGUGGCGGACGGGUGAGUAACGCGUGGAGAACCUAUCCUCAAGUUGAGGAUAACCUGGCGAAAGUCGGGCUAAUCCUGAAUAAGCUGACAGAUGAGCAUUCAUCAGUCAGAAAAGGUGCUUUUUAGCAUCGCUUAAGGAGGGCUCCGCGUCGGAUUAGCUAGCUGGUAGGGUAAAAGCCUACCAGGGCAACAAUCCGUAGCUGGUCUGAGAGGACGAUCAGUCACACCGGAACUGAGACACGGUCCGGACUCCUACGGGAGGCAGCAGUGGGGAAUCUUCCACAAUGGGCGCAAGCCUGAUGGAGCAACGUCGCGUGAGUGAAGAAGGCCUUCGGGUUGUAAAGCUCUGUCACCGGGGAAGAACCACCGGCAGGGGAAAUACUGCCGGUCUGACGGUACCCGGUGAGGAAGCCCUGGCUAACUACGUGCCAGCAGCCGCGGUAAUACGUAGAGGGCAAGCGUUGUCCGGAAUCAUUGGGCGUAAAGGGUACGCAGGCGGAUAGGCAAGUCAAAUGUGAAAGGUGCCGGCUCAACCGGCAGAUUGCGUUUGAAACUGUCUAUCUUGAGUACAGCAGAGGAGAGCGGAAUUCCUGGUGUAGUGGUGAAAUACGUAGAGUUCAGGAAGAACACCAGUGGCGUAGGCGGCUCUCUGGGCUGUUACUGACGCUCAGGUACGAAAGCCGGGGGAGCAAACGGGAUUAGAUACCCCCGGUAGUCCCGGCAGUAAACGAUGGACACUUGGUGUUGGGGGUUCGAUUCCCUCA
RNAcentral lists this ribosomal RNA (872 nucleotides) under uncultured low G+C Gram-positive bacterium. RNAcentral describes it as "bacterial SSU rRNA". It matches the Rfam family "Bacterial small subunit ribosomal RNA", at positions 1 to 842 of the family's 1533-position model. Lineage: Bacteria; Bacillati; Bacillota. The record is from RNAcentral.